GUUGUGAGCUAUUGAAGGUUUCAGGACAGAGAAGCCCUGAUUGGGAGCCUCGGGAGCUGUGCUUUCAGAAGAUGGUUCUAGCAACAAUACAGCAGGAGAAGGAAGCGGAGGAAGUACAAGAGGGUGUGGUUCAUGGAGCAAGCCCUGGAGAUAGCAAUGAACUCCUGGAUGGCGUUUGAUUUAGGUUUAUAUUGAAGCCACGUGCUCCUCAAGUUCAUGCUCCCAGGGAGAGGUGCUCCAGGAGGGCCAGAAGGCCUGGACUCUGGGAACUGACCGGGCUGCCCAGGGGGCUGCUGAGCAGGGAGAGGACGUUGUGAUCCGGAGCCAGGAGCGUGAGGCCAGAAUCCUGGAUCUGCAGCUCACUCUCCGUGGGACCCCGGCCGAGAAGAGUGAGCAAUGGUCUCCGUUUGCCUGUGACUGAGGAGGGUCCCGGGACAUGGGACGUUCAGUGCAAAAACUGGCAAGGUCCUGGGCCAGGCUGGCCACCCCACGGAUGAGCUAUUUCAUCAUUCUGAGCUUCAGUCUCCUCGAGGGCGGGCAAGAAGGUGUUGAUGACUCCAAGAACCUUCGUGAACUCCCCGGUCCUCACACCUGUUGGAGAUGCUUAUUACAGGUGUGGGGCGGGGGGGGGGGGGCGUGGUUCCCCCCAGCCUCGAGAUCUGAG
Molecule: non-coding RNA, 664 nt
Organism: Oryctolagus cuniculus (rabbit)
Lineage: Eukaryota; Metazoa; Chordata; Mammalia; Lagomorpha; Leporidae
Source: RefSeq, a predicted model, not a curated record